RNAcentral lists this ribosomal RNA (500 nucleotides) under uncultured bacterium. Its description in RNAcentral is "partial 16S ribosomal RNA". It matches the Rfam family "Bacterial small subunit ribosomal RNA", at positions 30 to 523 of the family's 1533-position model. The record is from RNAcentral.
AUUGAACGCUGGCGGAAUGCUUUACACAUGCAAGUCGAACGGCAGCACGGACUUCGGUCUGGUGGCGAGUGGCGAACGGGUGAGUAAUGUAUCGGAACGUGCCCAGUCGUGGGGGAUAACGUAGUGAAAAUUACGCUAAUACCGCAUACGAUCUAUGGGUGAAAGGGGGGGAUCGCAAGAGCUCGCGCGAUUGGAGCGGCCGAUAUCAGAUUAGGUAGUUGGUGGGGUAAAGGCCCACCAAGCCAACGAACUGUAGCUGGUCUGAGAGGACGACCAGCCACACUGGAACUGAGACACGGUCCAGACUCCUACGGGAGGCAGCAGUGGGGAAUUUUGGACAAUGGGCGAAAGCCUGAUCCAGCCAUUCCGCGUGCAGGAUGAAGGCCCUCGGGUUGUAAACUGCUUUUGUACAGAACGAAAAGGUUUCUACUAAUACUAGGAGCUCAUGACGGUACUGUAAGAAUAAGCACCGGCUAACUACGUGCCAGCCGCCGCAGUAA